RNAcentral lists this ribosomal RNA (431 nucleotides) under uncultured bacterium. RNAcentral describes it as "bacterial SSU rRNA". It matches the Rfam family "Bacterial small subunit ribosomal RNA", at positions 954 to 1392 of the family's 1533-position model. The record is from RNAcentral.
GCACAACGCGAAGAACCUUACCAAGGCUUGACAUACAAUUGAAUACGUAAGAAAUUACGUAGUCCUUCGGGACAGUUGUACAGGUGAUGCACGGUUGUCGUCAGCUCGUGUCGUGAGAUGUUGGGUUAAGUCCCGCAACGAGCGCAACCCUCGUGACUAGUUGCUGCCUAGCAGAACUCUAGUCAGACUGCCGUAGUUAAUACGGAGGAAGGUGAGGAUGACGUCAAAUCAUCAUGUCCCUUAUGUCUUGGGCUACACACGUACUACAAUGACUACUACAAAGAGAAGCAAGAUCGCGAGAUUGAGCAAAACUGAAAAAAGUAGUCCUAGUUCGGAUUGGAGGCUGCAACUCGCCUCCAUGAAGCUGGAAUUGCUAGUAAUCACAGGUCAGCAUACUGUGGUGAAUACGUUCCCGGGUCUUGUACACACCG